This 497-nucleotide ribosomal RNA is filed under the name uncultured bacterium. Its description in RNAcentral is "partial 16S ribosomal RNA". It matches the Rfam family "Bacterial small subunit ribosomal RNA", at positions 28 to 507 of the family's 1533-position model. The record is from RNAcentral.
GACGAACGCUGGCGGCGUGCCUAAUACAUGCAAGUUGAGCGCUGAAGGUUGGUACUUGUACCAACUGGAUGAGCAGCGAACGGGUGAGUAACGCGUGGGGAAUCUGCCUUUGAGCGGGGGACAACAUUCGGAAACGAAUGCUAAUACCGCAUAAAAACUUUAAACACAAGUUUUAAGUUUGAAAGAUGCAAUUGCAUCACUCAAAGAUGAUCCCGCGUUGUAUUAGCUAGUUGGUGAGGUAAAGGCUCACCAAGGCGAUGAUACAUAGCCGACCUGAGAGGGUGAUAGGCCACAUUGGGACUGAGACACGGCCCAAACUCCUACGGGAGGCAGCAGUAGGGAAUCUUCGGCAAUGGACGAAAGUCUGACCGAGCAACGCCGCGUGAGGGAAGAAGGGUGUCGGAUCGUAAAACUCUGUUGGUAGAGAAGAACGUUGGUGAGAGUGGAAAGCUCAUCAAGUGACGGUAACUACCCAGAAAGGGACGGCUAACUACGUG